This 54-nucleotide transfer RNA is filed under the name Embiophila sp. RNAcentral's name for it is "partial tRNA-Ile". The record is from RNAcentral. Lineage: Eukaryota; Metazoa; Arthropoda; Insecta; Hemiptera; Plokiophilidae.
CCUGAUAAAAAGGGUUAUUUUGAUAGAAUAAAUCACGCUUAAUAGCCCUCAUUA